Molecule: transfer RNA, 73 nt
Filed under: Salmo salar (Atlantic salmon)
Lineage: Eukaryota; Metazoa; Chordata; Actinopteri; Salmoniformes; Salmonidae
Rfam family: tRNA (bases 8-68)
About the family: Transfer RNA (tRNA) molecules are approximately 80 nucleotides in length.
Source: Rfam by way of RNAcentral
UCCCGUGUGGCUCAGUUGGUAGAGCAUGGUGUUUGCAACGCCAGGGUUGUGGGUUGUUCGAUUCCCACGGGGG